CCUACGGGCGGCAGCAGUGAGGAAUAUUGGUCAAUGGACGCGAGCCUGAACCAGCCAAGUAGCGUGAAGGAAGACUGUCCUAUGGAUUGUAAACCUCUUUUGUCUGGGAACAAAAUGCUCCACGCGUGGCGUUCCGUGUGUACCCUAUGAACAAGGAUCGGCUAACUCCGUGCCAGCAGCCGCGGUAAUACGGAGGAUGCGAGCGUUAUCCGGAUUUAUUGGGUUUAAGGGGUGCGCAGGCGGAAGUUCAAGUCAGUGGUAAAAUUUUGAGGCACAACCUAAUCGAGCCGUUGAAACUGGUAGUCUUGAGUGAGCUAGAAGUAUGCGGAAUGCGUGGUGUAGCGGUGAAAUGCAUAGAUAUCACGCAGAACUCCGAUUGCGAAGGCAGUACACCGGAGCGCAACUGACGCUGAUGCACGAAAGUGUGGGUAUCGAACAGGAUUAGAUACCCCUGUAGUC
Molecule: ribosomal RNA, 459 nt
Filed under: uncultured bacterium
Lineage: Bacteria
Description: partial 16S ribosomal RNA
Rfam family: Bacterial small subunit ribosomal RNA
Source: RNAcentral